GGGAGCUUUGGGGACGCACUUGUGGAUGCCUAGGCCUCUUCCGUUUGCCUCUGGGACUGGCGAUACUCGAGAUGUCUUGAGGCCUUCCAGACCUUGCUCCACCUCCACCACCAGGUCUCCAGUCCUGAGCCACAUGCUGCCAUUUUUGUCUCAGAAGCACCCCUCUUCCAGGUGGAAGAUUGAAGGUCUGAAGAGUGGGAAGACCCAGGAACAGGCAAGUCCAGGAAGAUAUGAGGAAAAUCAAGAAAGAGAAGGAAACUGAAGCUAGUGGGAAGUGCUUCAAGUUGGAGAUGAUGCUGAGAUGGCCAAAAAGUUUGGACCAGAAGGAAGACCA
This 334-nucleotide long non-coding RNA is filed under the name Pan troglodytes (chimpanzee). RNAcentral's name for it is "long non-coding RNA NONPTRT014902". The record is from RNAcentral. Lineage: Eukaryota; Metazoa; Chordata; Mammalia; Primates; Hominidae.